AAUCAACGCUGGCGGCGUGCCUAACACAUGCGAGUCGAACGCGAAAGCCCCGCAAGGGGUAAGUAGAGUGGCAAACGGGUGAGUAACACGUGGGUGACCUGCCUUCGAGUGGGGGAUAACGUCCCGAAAGGGACGCUAAUACCGCAUGACAUCCUGCUUUUGAAAAAGCGGAGAUCAAAGCUGGGGAUCGCAAGACCUAGCGCUUGAAGAGGGGCCCGCGCCUGAUUAGCUAGUUGGUGAGGUAACGGCUCACCAAGGCGACGAUCAGUAUCCGGCCUGAGAGGGCGGACGGACACACUGGGACUGAGACACGGCCCAGACUCCUACGGGAGGCAGCAGUGGGGAAUUGUUCGCAAUGGGCGCAAGCCUGACGACGCAACGCCGCGUGGAGGACGAAGAUCUUCGGGUCGUAAACUCCUGUCGAGCGGGACGAACGCUUCGCGGAUGAAUAAUCCGCGGAAUUGACGGUACCGCUAAAGGAAGCCCCGGCUAACUCCGUG
RNAcentral lists this ribosomal RNA (500 nucleotides) under uncultured bacterium. RNAcentral's name for it is "partial 16S ribosomal RNA". It matches the Rfam family "Bacterial small subunit ribosomal RNA", at positions 32 to 507 of the family's 1533-position model. The record is from RNAcentral.